This 704-nucleotide long non-coding RNA is filed under the name Sarcophilus harrisii (Tasmanian devil). RNAcentral describes it as "lncRNA (ENSSHAG00000024130.1)". The record is from RNAcentral. Lineage: Eukaryota; Metazoa; Chordata; Mammalia; Dasyuromorphia; Dasyuridae.
GCAUACAAAACAAACGGUAUUUCUGAGCAACUAUCACCCUGAUUUACAGAGGACAGAGCUAGCAGAAAGGAACAAGAGUCAAUCCAAGAGGACAAAUAGAUCAGGAUUGCUUAUUAUACCCAUGUCAGGUCCAUGAUAAGAAUGGCAGUGAAAUAGGAAACUAAGCUGAAUUUCAGCCAACUAGGGUUUAUCUAAAGGAGCAAAAAGGGGAAAACUACCAUUGGAUCUGCCCCUUGAACAGGAUCAUCAUCACAGAUAAGCAAAUCAGUGCCUAGCUUGCUGUGGAAGUUUGUGAGGAAGUCAAAGAAGAUAAACUAACAGCUCUUUAGACCCUCUCAGAAGAAUAAUAACAAUGUUUAUAUAGCAUUUUAAAGUAUUAUCUUCUUUGAUACUUACAACAAUCCUUUGAGAGCUGUCACAGGAGUCUUUUAGCAUUCCUGUAUUUCUGUCAAAGGAUAAAGUUGGGGACCACAUCAAUAUUACUUCAUGGCAUCUAUGGUCUAAGAGUCACAACCAGCUGACCUUCCAUGAAACAGUUUCAGAAAGAAGACCCUGCUAUUGAUCACUACUACUUCCUGCCUUUCUACCAUUAAAGUCACUUCUUAUAUGAGCUCAAUCCUUUACUCUCUAGGGUUUCUUUUCUAUUUGCAAAAUACUGCUACUCCUUUCCCUUCUGAUCCCCCUGGCCAUGCAGAAAAGAAAAC